UACGAAGGGGGCUAGCGUUGCUCGGAAUCACUGGGCGUAAAGCGCACGUAGGCGGACUCUUAAGUCGGUGGUGAAAUCCUGGAGCUCAACUCCAGAACUGCCUUCGAUACUGAGAGUCUCGAGUCCGAGAGAGGUGAGUGGAACUGCGAGUGUAGAGGUGAAAUUCGUAGAUAUCAAGCGGAACACCGGUGGCGAAGGCGGCCUUCUGGACAGUGACUGACGCUGAGACGGCGAAAAGCGUGGGGAGCAAACAGGG
RNAcentral lists this ribosomal RNA (256 nucleotides) under uncultured bacterium. RNAcentral's name for it is "partial 16S ribosomal RNA". It matches the Rfam family "Bacterial small subunit ribosomal RNA", at positions 524 to 777 of the family's 1533-position model. The record is from RNAcentral.